UUGGAGGGCAAGUCUGGUGCCAGCAGCCGCGGUAAUUCCAGCUCCAAUAGCGUAUAUUAAAGUUGCUGCAGUUAAAAAGCUCGUAGUUGAAUUUCGGGACCAUCAUGUCGGUCGUGCCUCGGUACGUACUGGCAUUGUUGGUUUCUCCCUUCUGACGAACCAUGAUGUCAUUUAUUUGGUGUCGUGGGGAAUCAGGACUGUUACUUUGAAAAAAUUAGAGUGUUUAAAGCAGGCUCACGCUUGAAUACAUUAGCAUGGAAUAAUGAAAUAGGACGUUUGAUUCUAUUUUGUUGGUUUCUAGGAUCGACGUAAUGAUUAAUAGGGAUAGUUGGGGGCAUUAGUAUUCAAUUGUCAGAGGUGAAAUUCUUGGAUUUAUUGAAGACUAACUACUGCGAAAGCAUUUGCCAAGGAUGUUUUCAUUAAUCAAGAACGAAAGUUAGGGGAUCGAAGACGAUCAGAUACCGUCGUAGUCUUAACCAUAAACUAUGCCGACUAGGGAUCGGAUGAUGUUAAUUUUUUAAUGACUCAUUCGGCGCCUUACGGGAAAC
RNAcentral lists this ribosomal RNA (548 nucleotides) under uncultured Glomeromycotina. Its description in RNAcentral is "SSU rRNA". It matches the Rfam family "Eukaryotic small subunit ribosomal RNA", at positions 548 to 1098 of the family's 1831-position model. The record is from RNAcentral. Lineage: Eukaryota; Fungi; Glomeromycota.